This 74-nucleotide transfer RNA is filed under the name Thermoplasmatales archaeon. Its description in RNAcentral is "tRNA-Arg". It matches the Rfam family "tRNA". From Rfam's summary of the family: Transfer RNA (tRNA) molecules are approximately 80 nucleotides in length. Their secondary structure includes four short double-helical elements and three loops (D, anti-codon, and T loops). The record is from RNAcentral. RNAcentral also lists the same sequence under 1 other name. Lineage: Archaea; Methanobacteriati; Thermoplasmatota; Thermoplasmata; Thermoplasmatales.
GCCCGGAUAGGGUAGUCAGGAUAUCCUUGGAGGCUGCGGACCUCCAGACCCGGGUUCGAAUCCCGGUCCGGGCA